GUGGUUUUAAGUGGUUUUAAGGCACAGGGAGAGACCAAGGCAAGUUUUAGAGCAGGAGUGAGAGUUUAUUAAAAAGUUUUAGAGCAGGAACAAAAGGAAGUACACUACACUUGGGUCAGGCAGGCAACUUGAGAGAUCUAAGUGCCCUGCCUGACCCUUAACUUGGGGUUUUAUGUAUUUGGCAUAGUUCUGGGAUUUACGUCUCAUCUCCCCUGAUUCUUCCCUUGCAGCAGGCUGUCCGCGUAUGUGGUGACCUGCCAGCACUUGGAAGGGGUCGCAUGCACAGUGUGAUUACUGAAGUUGCGCGCAUGCUCACUUGAGGCAUUUUUCCCCUUACCAGUCGUGCGUUCCCAGAGGAAGGUAGGUCAUAUACUGGUUAAAUUCCGCCAUUUUGCCUCUUGGUGCGCAUGCUCCAGGCUGCUUGCCCAGCUCCUGAGAUCUUAUCGGGAAGCGGCUGAUCACCAGAUCAGGGUGUUUUGUAUCUAUUGAGAGACUGUCCUUGCUUGGAGCUGGCUGCAACCAAUUAUUAUUUUACAGAGACAGUUUAACAACCACCUGACCAUCACCUGAUGGUAGCCUGACAUUCCUGUGGGGGCCCUCACCUGUCCUGCUCAUGUUUGCCUAGCUCCCUACUCUAACAUUUCCACUCUGUGGACCCCAGGUUGAGAUCUUCUGCAGGGAAGACUGUCCUCAAAUAGCCUGCUGGGGAGACAUCUCCUUCCCGUUUACCUUUCCAUUUGCCCUUGCGGUGUUAGGCAAAGGCUGAAGCUGGCCUCUGUGGCAGAGGGUUUCUUCCCAACACGCCAAUGACGCUGGUGGAGAGUCUUAAAAACAGCUGUGCUGGGGAGAGUUCUUGGUGUGUACCUUUCAGAGACCUCCUCCUUAAGACUCUCAAAGACUGAGUCAGGCCAGUGGGAGCCUGGCAGCAAUUCUUAGGGGACAGUGACAGCUUUUUGAGGAGGACUAAUUGGCUUCUAGGGCUGGAGGCCACUUGGGUCUGACAGACUGCCCUGCUGCCAUCCCUCCAGGGCACCCCCCACUCCCUUGCCUCAGGGCCUUCCUGCACUUCUUCCUUUUGUCCUCAAUGUUCUUCACCCCACCUUUUCCACUGGUACCCUCUGCCUAUGGUCAAGGCUUUGGUGAGACCCACUUUCCUCUUAGACCUUCCUGGAUCCCCCAAAGUCUGUGUUGGAAGCCCCUCCCAUGUGCCCUUGUUUGAGCUUUUAAUUUUCCACCAUGACGCUUGUCACACUGCUUUGUAAUUGGCUCUCUGUUAGUCUGCAUCUCUACUGGGUUGUACCUUCCAGGAGGACAGCUGCCAUGUGACUCUUGUAAUCUUCCCACCGCCAACACCCAGCACAGCGUCAGGAACACAGAGCAUGAUGAGCACAAGCUUGUUGAGCAAACAGACAAAUAACUGGAUGCUUCUGUGCAGAGUUUCUCAACCUGGCCAUUAUUGGCAUUUGGGACUUGAUCAUGCUUGGUCGUGGGAGACGGUUCUGUGCCUGUAGGAUGUUUAGGAGCAUGCUUGGUUUCUACCCACCAGAUGCCGGGAGCACACCCACCCAGCUGUGACAACCAAAAAUGUCUCCAGACACCAUUCCAAAACCAGCGGGAGACAAAAUCGCCCGACAGUCGUUGCUUUAGUGAGUGAAUGUUGACCUAAGCGUCACUUCGCCUGUCUUGAGUCUAGGUCGGGGAGUGGGUUCAGUUAGCCAAUCAGAGAACGCUGAUGGGGCGACCAGUAUAUGCUCAUGAAAUGGGUGGCUGACCUCUUGGGGUCAGAAGAGGGAAAAGUUUUACUGUGUGUUGGCUAAGGACCAUUUUAAGUCCUUCAGUGACCGAUUACCACAUGAGAACACAAGAGGGCGCUCUAACUAAUGAGUUCCGCGGCCGAGAAAACUCCUGGAGUGGGUGCUCCUGGGAUGCUUCAGGUUUAGACACCGGGGUUACGGCAGCUGCCGAGGAAGGCUAAAGCCAGCGUCCUGGAUUCAGACAGACCUUUUAGCCAUUAAAUCCACUAAGAAAGAUCCCUGCGCAUGAAGUUUCCUCCUCGGAAAUAUAGGCAGAAGGGAAAGUAAUUUUAAACUCAUGUGUGCUCCACAGGCCGGGGGCGGUGGCUCAUGCCUGCAAUCCCAGCACUUUGCGAGGCCAAGGAGGGAGGAUCACUUGAGCCCAGAAGUUCGAGACCAGCCUGGGCACCAUGGUGAAACCUCAUCUCUGCAAAAAAAAAAUUAAAAAUUAGCCAGCUAUGGCGGCUCACGCCUCUGGUCCCAGCUACCCAGGAAGCUGAGAUGGGAGGAUCGCUUGAGCCCAGGGGUUCGAGGCUGCGGUGAGCCAUUGUUGUGCCACUGCACUCCAGCCUGGGCAACAGAGCAAGCCCCUGUCUCAACAAAACAAAACAAAACAAAAAAUUCAGUCGUGCUGCAUAAGUAAGGCACCAGGAGUAGGAAUAGGGUCUUUGCAGCUCCCGUGGCAAUUGCCCUUCUCUGGUGGUGGCAAGGGACUAAGGAACUCCCUGGACACAGGGGAUCUGGCUGUCCCCAGAUCAUCAACAGAGACAUGAAGGUCGUUAGAGGUCGUCUGAUCCUUUGACCUCAAUCUGAGCCCACCACUCAGAAAACCUGGAAAUUGUAUGACAUUUUCGUGAUACAACUCGGUGUGUGUGUGUUGGGGAAAGGAACCAACAGCUUUCAUCAUAUUGUCAAAAGAGUCUAGGUCAAAUUUAUUUAAUACAACAUCCACGAGGGUCCCUGCAGCUGUGUCACUGAGGCAAACAGGAAAAGUGAUUUUGGCUAGGCGUGGUUCUCAUCUGUGAAAUUCCACAGCGCAAUGACAGCAGCCUCUCUCCCACCCACUCAAGACACUGUCAGGAAUGUCUUAAGACCUCAGGAGACCACUUCUUUAGCAAGCAAUUUUGUUUUUUGUUUUUUUUGAGAUGGAUUCUCACUCUGUCACUCAGGCUGGAGUGCAGUGGCGCGAUCUCCGCUCACUACAACCUCCGUUUCCUGGGUUCAAGCGAUAAUCUCACCUCAGCCUCUUGAGUAGCUGAUACUACAGGCAUGCGCCACCACGCCCGGCUAAUUCUUGUAUUUUUAGUAGAGACAGGGUUUCAUCAGGCUGGUCUCAAACUCCUGACCUCAGGUGAUCCGCCCACCUCAGCCUCCUGAAGUGCUGGGAUUACAGGCGUGAGCCACCUUGCCUGCCCUGGCAAGGAAUACAUUUUUAAAAAUUAGUAAGAAACAUACACAUUUCAAGUUUUCAAUUAAGAAUAAUAUUUGCUGAUGGCACCAUCUUCCUGUCUUUCAGCCUUCAGCAUGGUAGAGGAAAAGAGAAAGAGUGUAGACAAAAACAGUUGAAGAACAUCUGUGCUUGUUCCACCUUCAUUUUCUGUUUUGUGCGUUGCCUGAAUGAACGGUGUCUUCAGGUUGGUAUUUCACAGGCGGUGCUCCCAAGUAGUCUGGUUUUCCCAUUUGUGGAGGGCGAGGUCAUAGAGGGGACAGGGGGAGGCUGUCUGGUCAGCACUGUGUAUUUCCAAAGAACAAGGACUAGCCAAAACUACAAGCCUUUGAAGGACCAAAGGAAAAGAGAAAAAACCAGCCUCUAACCAGGCCAUGCGCUAGAAAUGAUUGAGUAUAAAAAAGAAAAUUGGUUUCUGUGUAUGAGGGUGCAUGGAAAAGGUCUUUAUCUCUGCACAAAACAAAAUAUUCAAGUUUCAGAAUAUCCCAAUGGCCUUGCCCUGGAUCUCCUCUUGUGCUCUUCCAAUUUCCAAGGAUGUUCCAACUUGGUGGAAGGAGGGUAUGUGGGAAAUUCAACAGCCCCUCUGUAUCUCUUUCUACCCAACAUUAACUUAGCAGGAUGGAUUUAAGAACCGGCAGCUUAGCCUGAGGAAUUGCUGUGUUCUGUGGGAGCAGGGCAGGUUCAUAAAUAAGUGCACAGAGGUCUUGAAAUACAGGGAUUAUCUGUUCUUCUCGGAACAUGGAUGUCCUUCCAGGGAUGUGCAUCUGGCCUUGCUGUCUAAGUUCCAUCAAGGGAGCCUUCCGUUCUCUGUAGCGACAAGAAACAAGGCAAGUUAUGAUCACACCUCUCAAGAUUGAAGAUUGCCCUGGUGGAGAGAAAUGCAAAAUGACAGCACUUCUCAAAGAAAAUGCAAAGCAGGGCUGUCACACACUGGUCCCCCACCCUGCAGGGUUCUCUCUGUGACUUCAGAGGCCCAAGGAGUCCUCAGCACUACAGAUACACGUGGCCCCUCAGAAGACAACAUUUCACAGAUCUGCAAAGAAUAAAGGUCAAAUUUACUUAAUACAACACCCACCAGGGUUCCUGCAGCUGUGUCACUGAGGCAAACAGGGAAAGUAAUUUUGGUUAGGUGUGGUUCUCACCUCUGAAAUUCCACAGCACAAUGACUGCAGCCUCUCUCCCACCCACUCAAGACAUUGUCAGGAACGUCUUAAGACCUCAGGAGACCACUUCUUUAGCAAGCAAUUUUUUUUAGAUGGAUUCUCACUCUGUCACUCAGGCUGGAGUGCAGUGGCGCGGUCUCUGCUCACUACACCCUCCCUCUCCUGGCUCCUGCCCGUAUGUAUUUCUCCUUCUCUCCAUGCCUGCUCUGUAGGGACCAUAGCCUCUGUCCCUGCAUACAUGUUGGACAUCAAUCACAUCAGUCCACCAAGUAACUUCAUCAAGCACCCAUGUACGCCCAGCACAGCGUCCCAAGGGUGCCCCACUUACCCACAGAAGAAGAAAGGCAACUUUGUAAGAGAUCUGACUUCUAGCUCCAGUUCUGUCUCUAGCUAACGUGAGAUGUACCCGUUUGAGGCCUGUUUUUUAAUUUUGAAAAUGAAGGACUGAACUUAGAUGGUCCAACUGAAAUGUUUUAAAAUGAUAUGAUUCUACCUUAAAAAGAGAAUGAAAUUCUGAUAUAUUUUCAACACAGGAAAACCUUGAAAACGUUAUGCUAAAUGAAAUAAGGCAGACAUGAAAGGACAAAUAUAUGAUUCCACUUAUGUGAUGUACCUCAAAUAGUCAAAUUCAUAGAGACAGAAAGUAGACAGUGGUUGCUAGGGGUUGCUGGAGGGGCAAUGGGGAGUUAGUGUUUAAUGGGUACAGUGUUUCAGUGGCUGCUCUGCCUAUGGAGUAGCCAUUCUUUUGUUUCUUUACUUCUCUAAUAAACUUGCUUUCACUUAAAAAGAAAAAGCUCUGGAGAUGGAUAGUGGUGGUGGUUGCACAGCAAUGUGAACGGACCUAAUGCAACUGAAUUAUACACUUUAAAAUGGUUAAGUAUACACUGGAAAAUGGUGAAUUUGCCGGGCGGGCGCAGUGGCUCACGCCUGUAAUCCCAACACUUUGGGAGGCCGAGGCGGGUG
RNAcentral lists this long non-coding RNA (5366 nucleotides) under Homo sapiens (human). RNAcentral describes it as "HSALNT0243816". Lineage: Eukaryota; Metazoa; Chordata; Mammalia; Primates; Hominidae. The record is from RNAcentral.